CACGUCUCAAUCGACAUCAAAUAAUUGUUAAUAAAUAGUUGUCUAAUAUUUACAUAGUUUUUCAUCCGUACAUAUCUUUAUUACUGAUUUAUAAUGUUUUUCGGAUGGAAGCAAAACUAAAUUACGGAUAAAUAAAGAAUGUGCAAAUUAGUUCAAGAUCAAUAAAUUUAUGUAACUUAUGUUGCUAGUACGGACACCCUAGUAGUCACUUAUUUGCUACUAUUUCUUAGCCAUAUCAUCCUGAUUCUACCCUUUGUCCCAUCAUAGAAAUUGACACAUCACACAUGGCUGCAACAGUCUCAACGUGAUGAAGAGCCAAAUCAGUUUCCUCCUCCGUCUUACACAUGACCUUGCUUCCUGUCAUGUCACAAAAGAAGAAAACAGUCCCUUUCUCUGUAAGAUUGAACAGAGUCAAGCCAUAAAAGAAAAUGGACAAGCUGAUUUUUUCAUCAUGAAAUUUUGUGUUUUGAAAUAGUUACUAAAUAUGUAAUGUUUAGUCCAGCAGCCAAAUGGUUAUACCCCAGAGUUGUUUACAUCAUUGCUUCACUCAUGGUUCAGUGCCAUGAUGGCAUAAAAGAUAUCUUAGAAAAAGCCGGAUACAUAGUAAUGCCUAAUUAACAGAUGGUCAAAGCAAUUAUCAAAAAACAUGAAGAGCAGGUUAACCAUUGUUACAUCCCAAAUCUAUGAGAACAUCUGUAAAUAAUUAUCUGUAAUGGGGUGUUUAGAGUACACCUGCUUUGGUUGUACUGGGGUGUGGUCGAGAGUGGAUGUUCGCAUCCAUUUCGAGGCUUCUUGUACAUUGUAUUUUCUCUCUUUUAUAAAAGUAUGCCUUUGGCGUACUCUCAAAAAAAAAGAAUAUCUGUAAAUUGUAGAAGAAAAUGGCGCAGUUAUGAAAAGAAAACAAAGCUUUAACCUUGGUGUAGUAAAAACUAAAAGGUAACUUAUCCCUACAGUCUAAUAACAGAACAACACAUGAGUAAACAACUUGCUGUUUUCUGUAAAGGGUGAAUUUCAUUGGCAGCAUGUCUGAACUAUCAUAAUAAAAUUAGUCAGGCCUCCUAAAUUUUGUUACUCAAGAAACUAUCUGCAGGUCCCUGAAAUUUUGCUAUGCAUUUUUGGAAGAGAAGAGCACCAUUUCAAAUUCACAAUACUGCGUGAUAGUUUGUUUCUCGAGCCUAAACAAAAGCAAAACUUCCUCUAGACACUUGCUUAAUGUAAGAGCGGAACAAACUUUCAUAAUUUCAAACUGAAGAUUUCAAAGUCAUACACAUGGCAGAUAAUUCAUACUUUAGGAGGAAAUUAGUUUGCCUCCAAAUCCAACAGCAAUCAACAAAAAUACACAUGGAAAAUGGCAUUUAAUAGUACACUGUAAACAGAACACUGAAUGGAUAAUGAUACUAAAAUGUGUUUACAAAGGUCAACAGAAUACAGAUCUUACCAACGAACAAAGAUGAAGUGAUGAACUGACCGGUUUCAGUGAAGUGGCUAAUGUCAUGACCUCGGUUUUCUGCUGAAGCAACUCAUUUUCUCUUUCAGAUAGCUGAACUGCUAAAAUACCCACCUAUGGAAAGUACCAAAAUAUUGAAGUGUUUACAAACAAAGAGAUCAUUUAGGCAUGUAUAUAUAUGUAGGUCGACUGGUGGAGACUUCUUUGAAUAAAAACUCACCUGCUACUAUUUUUUACACAAUGAAACUGUACGUGCUNN
Molecule: long non-coding RNA, 1706 nt
Filed under: Triticum aestivum (bread wheat)
Lineage: Eukaryota; Viridiplantae; Streptophyta; Magnoliopsida; Poales; Poaceae
Description: long non-coding RNA (TAES_LNC022277)
Source: RNAcentral